AUGGCAAGUCCUCCUCAAAAUUCCGACGAAACAUUUCCAUCUGCCGAUCUUGCUGGAGAAUUGAAUCCUGGGAAAAAUAGGGAGGUUCAAGUUGAUCCUAUAUCUUCUGAGGUUGCUGCCACCAAGGAAAUGGAGGAGGAAGAUGCAGCCAAAGAGAAGAAAAAGGAAAUAGAAAAGAAGGAAUGUUUGGAUAAAUUAAAAUCGGCCAUUAUAAUUUCAGGCAUAGUUGUGGCUGUGGUGGGAGCAGCAUUUGCAAUAACUAAGAAAUUAAAAGAGAAGUGA
Non-coding RNA from Vicia faba (fava bean), 282 nucleotides. NCBI's taxonomy places the organism in Eukaryota, Viridiplantae, Streptophyta, Magnoliopsida, Fabales, Fabaceae. The record is from the annotation of a GenBank genome assembly.